GAUGAACGCUGGCGGCGUGCCUAAUACAUGCAAGUCGAACGCACAGCGAAAGGUGCUUGCACCUUUCAAGUGAGUGGCGAACGGGUGAGUAACACGUGGACAACCUGCCUCAAGGCUGGGGAUAACAUUUGGAAACAGAUGCUAAUACCAAAUAAGAACUGAGACCGCAUGGUUAAAGUUUAAAAGACGGCGCAAGCUGUCGCUAAAGGAUGG
Molecule: ribosomal RNA, 213 nt
Filed under: uncultured bacterium
Lineage: Bacteria
Description: partial 16S ribosomal RNA
Rfam family: Bacterial small subunit ribosomal RNA
Source: RNAcentral